Molecule: long non-coding RNA, 625 nt
Filed under: Homo sapiens (human)
Lineage: Eukaryota; Metazoa; Chordata; Mammalia; Primates; Hominidae
Description: HSALNT0361422
Source: RNAcentral
CUGAGCCUCCAGGGUGAGACUGGGGCCCCCUCCGUGCCCUUCUGUAAUUGGUUAUCUGCCCUGCCGGACUGAGCUCUGUGACAGCAGUGAUUUUGCUUCCUUCCUGUGUUCUAGCACCCACUCCAGCACCUAGAGGAGAGCAGGUAAACCAAAGGAAGGGAGGAAGGGAGGAAGGGAAUGGCAUGACCAUGCUUGGCUGCCUUCCUCCCAGCGCGUGAGGAUUUGGACCAAUUCUUCUUACCCUAAACUCAGCCUCUGAGUUUCAGAGUAACCCUGACUUGCAGAGUUCCAGACAUGGAACCAGGUAGCUGGUAAUGAGAGCUAAGAGGAGAAAGGAUGGGGGAUGGUGAAGCUGGGUGUGAUGAGAAGCACACUGGACUUCAAAUGAGACCAUUUUUAUUGAAAUUUCAGCUGUGCCUUUUACAUGCUUUGUGACCAUGGGCAAGUUACUUACCUGACCUCACUGAGGAUUCUUUCCUCAAUUAUAAAAUAAAGCAGAAAUGCCAUCUGUUUGUGAGAAAACAUAAGUUAUAAAGCCCAGCACUUCACCUGACACUAAGUACCUACUUUGCAGGGGCAUUCUGGCUCCAGUUAAGACAAGGGUGGGUGUGUGUAUGUGUGUGCA